GAUGAACGCUGGCGGCGUGCUUAACACAUGCAAGUUGAACGAAGUGGCGGAUGGGCGAGUUACACUUGAGGAACCUGCCUUUCACAGGGGAAUAUCACUGGGAAACCAGUGCUAAUACCGCAUAGUUAAAGAUGGGCUCGCGCCUGAUUAGCUAGUAGGUGAGGUAACGGCUCACCUAGGUGAUGAUCAGUAGCCGGGCUGACGGUAGAACAGCGGCAUUGGGACUGAGACACGGCCCAGACUCCUACGGGAGGGAGCAGUGGGGAAUAUUGGGCAAUGGCGCAAGCCUGACCCAGCAACGCCGCGUGAAGGAAGACGGUCUUCGGAUUGUAAACCUCUUUCCAUCGAACAGGGUAGGUGGAGAAGAAGCGCCGGCUAACUACGUGCCAGCAGCCGCGGUAAUAC
This 405-nucleotide ribosomal RNA is filed under the name uncultured bacterium. Its description in RNAcentral is "partial 16S ribosomal RNA". It matches the Rfam family "Bacterial small subunit ribosomal RNA", at positions 28 to 526 of the family's 1533-position model. The record is from RNAcentral.